UAUAAUCUUAAAAUUGAAGGUCGGUGUAGAAUCCUCUGCCCUAGACUGGCCCUUAUACUUUCUAUAUUUACAAUUCCCACCCUCAAAGCUUAUGAAGUAAAGCUUUCCACGUGUUCCUAUUGCUUUUGUUUUCUUUGAAAGGGAAAAGAGAUGGGAACUCCGGUGUCCCCUCCGACAACCCGCGACGGCCUAAUCCAGCGCGUACACAACCCGCGACUACAUAAGGGAGAUUGGUGAACCUAACGGUGGUGUUCGUACGGUCAGACGAGUGACGUCGGUGGUUUUAAUGGAGUAAUUAGUAGCGGAGGCUAGGGUUUCUUAUUCUGUAUAUUGACAUGAGGGUUGAUUAACUACUGUUACGCCAUAAUAUUGCAGAAAUGGUGGUGGUUUGCUCACACCUGGUGCAUGAAGAUGAUCAAUGGCAGGAAAUUCGAUCCAUUUUAUAAACAACUAUGUGCCUAAAACCCAAGAUCCCUGCUCUGUGGUUUUUUGUGUGUGGCCGGAAAGUUGAAGGUGGCCGGAUUUCUUCUUACAAGCUGGCAUGAAGACGGGGUGGUACCACCAGCCUCAUCAGUUGUACCGCAGCAGUUUAGGAAGAGAGAGGAAUACGUUGCAGAAAAUUGAACGUGGCAAAAAACUAAAUUAUGAAGACCCCAUACUUAUCCUUUCCUUGCCAAGCACCUUAGCUACAGUAAGUAACGCUGUCACCGUUAAGAGACGUCGAUGUCAUUUACAACAAACCGAUUGCAACAGUUGAUAAUGAUGGUUGUCGGUGGCGUUCAUCAGUUCAUCACAUCUCGAGGAAAAAAGGAGUUCUAGCUAGAGAAAAUGAAAGGUGUUUGGGGUGCCUAAAGUAUGAUCCUUACAAGCAAAAAAAUUUCAGUUGAACGGGUUGCUUGAUGUUGGUAUUAGGUUCCGUUUAUUUAUCAUUAUUUUUCGGUUCGUUUUUUGGAUUUUCCUUCUUUGUGCGCAUUUAAUAUCAUCGACUUACUACUUUCUGUAUGUGUAUGUACAUACGGUUUUGCCGCCGCAACGCGCGGCAAGGUAAAUUCCUAGUAUAACCUUAAAAUGAAAUGUCGGUGUAUUUUACUAUUAUAAUCCUUCCUUUUUUCCUACUUUUACACAAGGUCAAUUCAAUUGAGAAGGAAUUCGGUUGUUGAAUGGUAAGGAGCCCAAGCCCCAAGGCAUGCAGAAAAAUAUAUAUCAAAUAAUUAUUUCUUUCUUUUUUUACUUCAUCAAUUCUAAUUUUUUUC
This is a long non-coding RNA of Helianthus annuus (common sunflower), 1253 nucleotides long. RefSeq lists it as uncharacterized. Lineage: Eukaryota; Viridiplantae; Streptophyta; Magnoliopsida; Asterales; Asteraceae. The transcript has 3 exons. The record is from RefSeq and is a predicted model, not a curated record.